Molecule: long non-coding RNA, 1169 nt
Filed under: Felis catus (domestic cat)
Lineage: Eukaryota; Metazoa; Chordata; Mammalia; Carnivora; Felidae
Description: lncRNA (ENSFCAG00000048435.1)
Source: RNAcentral
AUGCAAGAAGAGUCUGUGCAUCAGCACCCCAGAUACCUUUCAAUCCUGAAGAUGGGGGAGGUAACCUGGAUUAAAUUGAGGUCACUCAGCAUGGUGGGCAUCUUAUUUUUACAUGCAAGCAGAUGUCUUUCCAUGGGAAAUCUGCUCCCACUCCACGUCAAUGCUGCAAUUGACAGGGGCAAUGCUGAUCGUUGCCAAGAAUGUUCCCAGGAAUGGAUCUGUGACCCUGGCCUAGCCCAUCAUCCUACCCCAUGCUCUUGGCCGGCGUGCUUGACCCAGAGAUGACCACGUCACCCAAGCACAACCAAGCAGAGUUACCCCAUGAGCAUUUUAUAUGUGGAAGGAGAAGAGAAGGGACCCUGCCUUUGCCUCCAGAGUUGGGCACCUGGGCGGCCAGGAGUCAUGGCCAACUAGUGGCAGCUUUCUUUCAUAGCAGGGUUAGAGCAUGAUGCCAAGAUGAGGAAGCUUGGACAAGAAACAGAGAGAUGGAGAUGAUAACAUUCUUACGACGUCUCUGCCCACUGAGCCCCUCCAUACCACUCAUACACGAGGACGUGGCCAAAGGGAGCCCGUUGCGAAAGGCACGGUCUCAUUAGUGCAGUCUUUGGACCUCUCAACCUCACAAGGACCAGCCAAGGGUCCAAAACACUUCCUUCCCAAGACACAAGAGUCCUCACAGCCUGUGCUGGGCUCAUCUCCUUGAGCAGGAAUAUCUUCCUGUUUCAGACUCAGUGAGCAUCCUUUGUUCUGCUGGUAUGCGUCACAUGGCAUGUGGCCCACCCCACUGCUCUGCAGGGGAGAGGACAGGGUCCUUCUGCUGAAAACAAGAGGGCUGUGCACAGGCCAACAGCCCUGUGUCGCCCUCUGGCAGGGACCUGCCCGACGCUGAUCUUGCUGUCUCUUCUCUAUGCAAGGAAAGCGUGCUCCAUCCAGUCCUUGACUGCACUGUGGUUUUCCUUAGCCACUCUGAUCGUAAGGUGCAGGGCGCUUCUCCCCCUGGUGACAGGGAACAGAUGCCACUUGCUCCACAUCCCAUUAAUAUUUCAAGUAGGUCAAGUUGGGUUUCUGCUCCCGGCAACCCAAAUCCCUGGAGUAACAGGGUUGUAGUUUGCUUUCAAUAGGAAACAGCAAAAGGAUGGAGGGGCAAAUAAAUUACCAUGAAAUGAACA